GAUGAACGCUGGCGGCGUGCCUAAUACAUGCAAGUCGAGCGAACAGACGAGGAGCUUGCUCCUCUGACGUUAGCGGCGGACGGGUGAGUAACACGUGGAUAACCUACCUAUAAGACUGGGAUAACUUCGGGAAACCGGAGCUAAUACCGGAUAACAUGUUGAACCGCAUGGUUCAACAGUGAAAGACGGUCUUGCUGUCACUUAUAGAUGGAUCCGCGCCGCAUUAGCUAGUUGGUAAGGUAACGGCUUACCAAGGCAACGAUGCGUAGCCGACCUGAGAGGAGGAUCAGCCACACUGGAACUGAGACACGGUCCAGACUCCUACGGGAGGCAGCAGUAGGGAAUCUUCCGCAAAGGGCGAAAGCCUGACGGAGCAACGCCGCGUUAGUGAAGAAGGUCUUCGGAUCGUAAAACUCUGUUAUUAGGGAAGAACAAAUGUGUAAGUAACUAUGCACGUCUUGACGGUACCUAAUCAGAAAGCCACGGCUAACUACGUG
This 497-nucleotide ribosomal RNA is filed under the name uncultured bacterium. Its description in RNAcentral is "partial 16S ribosomal RNA". It matches the Rfam family "Bacterial small subunit ribosomal RNA", at positions 28 to 507 of the family's 1533-position model. The record is from RNAcentral.